CAAUUUAAACUAUAAUAACAAUGUUGCAGAUUAAUAUGAAAUGUAGAAAUAAAAUAUAUGAAAGGUUCUCUGUAAAUUAUGUAUAUAUAUUACUGUGCAUAUAUAUUAUAUAUUUGAUAUGAAAUAUUUGUGUAAUGCAAUGAAAUUUAUUGAAUUGUCUUGGCAAUUUUACAAAAAUCAACAGACCUCUUACAUUUGUGGAAAAAUGGAGUAGACAUUUUUUUCCUAUUUCUCCUGCUAUACACAAUGAAAAGCUUGGACAUUUUACAUAUAACAAUCAUUGAAGGACACUAAAAGGUAGAUAAAAUAAGUCAUGACCUAAGGACCUCACAAUCUGUGCAAUGGUGUGGUCAGUUUCCUGGGUUUUCUUUUUAUGUUAUGUAUUCCAGUAAUAAAACUGUUGAAGGUGGUAGCUUAAAAGCAUCAGCAGGCAUAGAAAAGAAAACAUCUACAAAGCCUUUUCUCUAGCCAUAGGACCAGGAAAGCAGCAUUCUAUUAAGAGGAAGGCGGAACACUUUCAUAUAGUAAUAGCUACUAUUCCUAAACACUAGCAAAAAAAUGAAAAAUUAAAAAAAAGAAAUUUCUGCCCUACUUUCACCAAUCCCAGCAAAGACUGAGUGGAGAGCCUGGACUUCCAACACGUGUCCAGCUGUAAGGACACUCAUCAGUUCUCCUCAAAGUAAAGCUGUGGCACCAAAGAUGGCUGAAUAGAGGGUGGAGACUUUUAUCUCCACUGGUUGGUAACGAAGUAUCUCUCCCUCAGCCUGCUUCUCUUUUCAUCCUCCCAUUGUCACCUUCCAUCCCCUGCCCUGCAGUGUCAGUGGAAAUCAUGUGAGGUGCCUGGACUUAUUCAUUCAUUCAACGAUAAUGAGGCAUGCCUUUCUCUCCUUACUGGAGUCAUGUUAAAGGAAGACAGCUAAGACAGAAAAUUGAAGGAAGAGUCAAGAUCUCAUAACAUAAUACUCAAGUUGUCCGGGUUUCAGUAGGAAGUCCCUCAUGUUACUAAGAACUCAAAAAUCUGAACUUGAUUUUUAAAAAAUCAAUACUUAAAACUGAGAUGGCAGAAAUUAUUCUCUGACAGAGAUUUUAAAGCAGUCAUCAUAAAAUUGCUUCACCCAGAAGUUACAAACAUACAGGAAAUAUUUUUUUAACUCAGCAAUAAAAUAGAAAGUCUUAGCAAAGAAAUAGGAGGUAUAGAGUGGAAUCAAAUAAAAAUUUUAGAACAUAAAACUACAAUAAUGAAAAUUAAAUUGCAAAAGGUGGUUCUAAUAGAAGAACAGAAGGGAUAGAAUGAAUAAUUUUUGAAUCUUAAGAGAGAACAAUAAAAAUUACACAAUCGACAAAACAGAGAAAAUACAUUUUAAAAAAUAAACAGUGCCUGAGGAAACUUUAGACUAUAUCUCAAAAGAGCUAACAUUUGUGUCUCUUGAGUUCCAGGAGACAAGAAAAAGGAUAAGAUUGAAAAAUUACUCUAAGAGAUAAUGGCUAAAAUCUUCCCAAAUUUGGGAAACGGUGUAAGCUAACAGAUCCAAGAAACUACUUUGCUUCUUGGAUUAGUUUGUAUCACAAACAGAAUAAACUACAAACUGUACACACCAAGACACAUUAUAGUCAAGCUUCUGAAAACUCAGGAUGAAGAAAAUAACUUGGAAGCAGCAAGAAAUUCGACACUGUACAUGAAGGUAAAAACAAAUUGAAUAACAGCGGGUUUAUCAUGAGAAACCAGGUCAGCGAGGAGAAGAGGCCUGAUAUUUUUUAAGAGCUGAAAAAAGGUUCUGUCAACCCCGAAUUCUAUGUCUACUAAAAAUAUAUUUCAAGACUGAAGGACAAAUCAAGAUAUUUUGGAAUAAAGAAAGACUAAGAGGACUUGUCACCGGCAGAUCUGUCCUAAGGAUAUGGCUAAAGGAAGUUUUCUAAUUGUUAUAAAAUAUUGGCAAAGACAAUACAUUUUUCUUCUCUUCUUAAAUUUUCUAAAUUAUGUUUGAUGCUAGAAGCUAAAAUUAUAAUACCUUCUGAUGUGAUUCUAAGUUUAUGUGGAAAAAUAUUUAAGACAAUUAUAUUGUAAAUGGGUGGUGGUGGAGGAGCAUAAAUUGUGCUACAGAUUCUACAUUUUACUUUAACUGGCAAAAUAAUGACACCAAUUGACUAUGAUAAGUUAUGUACAUAAAAUGUUAUAUAUAUAUAAUAACCAGUAAGAAAGGUUUACAUCACAUACACUCAAUGACACUAUGGACAAAUUAAAAUGAAAUUCUGAAAAAGGGCAAGUAACCCAUAGAAAGGUAGAGAAAAGCAAACAGUAAAAUCACUGGGGAAGGAAAAACACAAAACAAAAGUAAAAUAUCUGACAUAUUGGUAACUAUAUUAAACAGAAAUUAUCUUUUAAAAUUACCUAUAUGCUGUUUUUAAGAAACUCAGAUAAACUAUAAAAAUAUAGAUGUAGUAAAUGUAAAAAAAGAAAAAAAUUAUAUUACGCAAAGUUUCAGAAAUGAAAAAUAUCUGGUAAAUAAGACUCCAGAUCUAUAUCUCAGUCAAUAACUAGAGACAGAGAGGGACAUUGUAUAAUUAUAAAAUGGUCAUUCCAACAAAACAUAUUAAUCUUCAAUAUCCAUGCACCAUGCAAAAUAUUUGAAGUAAGACUAGUAUAAGUGAAAGGAGAAAUAGGCAAAUACACAAUUUAAGCUAAAGACUGUAUCAGUCCGUUUUCACACUGCUGAUAAAGACAUACCUGAGACUGGGUAAUUUAUAAAGGAAAAGAGGUUUAAUGGACCCACAGUUCCAUGUGGCUAGGGAGGCCUCACAAUCAUGGCAGAAGGUAAAAGACAUGUCUUACAUGGCGGCAGACAAGAGAGAAUGAAUGAAUCAAGUGAAAGGGGAAAAUCUUUAUAAAAUAAUCAGAUAUCGUGAGACUUAUUCACUUCCACAAGAACAGUAUGGGGGAAACUGUCCCCAUGAUUCAAUUAUGUUCCACCGGGUGCCUCCCACAACACGUGGGAAUUAUGGGAACUACAAUUCAAGGUGAGAUUUGGGUGGGGACACAGCCAAACCAUAUCAAAGAUUUUUACACCCUACCUCAGUAAUAGAUAAAAUUAUAACAUAGAAAAUCAGCAGACAACUUACCCAAGAUGCUACCAUUGGGUAAAGGAUCUCUUUUACUCAGUGGGACCUGUCUGUAUUAUUUCUUACAACUGCAUAUGAAUUUAAUAUCACAAAAUGAAGAGUUAAAAUAAUAAUGGUAGAAUAAAUCAUUUGACCAUGAUAUGGAGCCAUUUCUGAACCAUUGCCAAACUAUCAUCAUUAUUAUAGCUUUAUAUUGAUUCUUAAAGUUGACAUAGUGUGCCAUUCUAAUUUUUUAUUCAAAACAUUUGCAUUGGUUAUUAAAGGUUGUUUGUAUUACUGUAUAAAUAUUACCAUAUCCUUGUCAAAUUCUACAAAACACGUGUUAGAAUUAUGAUAGAAAUUUUAGUGAAUCUGUAAGUUAUUUCAGUGAGAAUUACAAUUUUAACGUAAGUGACUCUUUUAACACUCUUAUACAAUGCAUCUGUCCACUUACUUAAGUUAUCUUUAAUUUUUCUCCACGGUGUUUUCUGCUUUUUCCUCUUGAGGUCUUGGAGUUCUAGCUGCUAAGGCUGCUUUUCUCCAUUACUGAGGAAAGCCUUUGUGAUGAAGCCAAAAGUGUUGAAAAGUAAUGAACCCCAUUUAGCAAGAUUUCCACAUUUUGAUUUCCCUCUAACAAUCUGCCAAUAGGCAGGUUUUUCAUUUGCGCCACUGUUUUCAGAUAGUUGCUUUUUCUUUUGAAUUUUGUGUAGUUAUGCUUGUCAUUAGCUGGAGGAUUGGUCUCUAAGGUGUUUGCAAUGCAAUAGUAGAACUGGAAUGAUAUGAGUAUAUUUUGAUAAUAAAGCUAAAAGGGUUAUUUUACAUAUCGAUAUUGAUUGUUAAAGAAGAAGAUUCAAGAAUGAGUUCAUAGGUUUUGGUUGACAACUGGACUAAGGCUAUUGUUGUUAGCAAAAAAGUGAAAUAAUUCAGAAACAAUAGUUUUGGGGUGGGAGAUAUUAAGAAGUUCAGUUUGAAAAAGUCAAGAUUGAGAUACCUAUUAGAUAGUCAAUUAGGAAUUUUAAGUUGGAAAUUUAUUAAAGAAGUCUUUAUUUCAGUGGAGAUAUCAAAGUUGGAGAUAAUUUUAUGAAUCAUAAGCAUAUAGGUAAUAUAUAAAGUCAAAAAAACUGGAUGAGGUCACUAAAGGGAGUGUGUGUGGACAGGAAGGGAAGAGAUCAAAAGAGACUCAAAGGCUGAGUUCUGAGUCACAUAAAAAGCAAUAUAAUAAAAUGUGAAAAUGUGCUUACAGCAAUAUGUAAAAUGAAAAUAUGAGAAGGAAUAAAUAAUCCAGCCUGGAAUGUCAAGGAAUUUCCUUACACUUACCUCUAAAAAUGAAUCUGUAUGUAUGAACAAAAGUUAUCCAAGCAAAUGAAAGGAUAAAGAACAUUCUGGGAUGAUAGGCUUCAAUGAGCAAGGCACAGAGCUUAUGGAGAGCAUGACUGUUUAAUCAUGCUACGGGAAGACUAGGGCAAGAAAUGGUAAAUGCAGUGUUGAAGAAGACCAGAUAGAACAACCGUUGCACUUUUUUGCCACGUUAAGAAGACGUUUUUAUCAGGAGAGUUUGGGGUUUUAAAACUGUUUCUGAAAGUAGAACUUAUUGUAUGUAAGUAAUCUGAGGUGGAAUUUAAAUUUAUAAAACAAAUAAAAGAAGAAUUUCCUUGUUGAAAUUAGUGCAUUCAGGGGAGGAGGAAGGUACAAUUUGCUUUAUGUUCACUCCGGGUGGCAGCCCCUGACACACCUUCAGAAAAUCUCAAGAAUUCAUGCUUCAGAAUUCAGUGAAACAGUCAGGUGCUUUCAAUGAUAUUCAUCAAGUUUUCAUUUUAAAUCUACUACUUAUGUGGGAUGAAUUUGAAUGAAAUAUUAUUGGCAAAUUCACUGAAAAGAAGAGGAGAUCGGUUAAUAGUGCAGGCAAGAAGUGACAAAGGCGAAGAAAAUGCAGUGUCUUAUAGAAAAUUACUUGGAAUAUUCUUGAGGGUAGUGAGAGCCAGAAUCCUCUAAGAUGAGAUGAUAUUUCUUCUUUCAUCUAAACUAGAUCUUGUACAUAAUGAUAUAAACUGUACCACUCAAAUAGUUUUUUUAAAAAACCCUUAAUUCAUAAAACAGGUGCAAGAGUGUCACAGUAUCCUCACACAGUGGUAGCCCCCAUGUUACCUUCAGGGACUCUGUAGAAUCUAACAUAACAUUUAUCUGUAAAGUUUACUGAUAGAUAGUGUACAGUUUUAUGAGUUUAAAAAUCAGUAAUUAAUGCACUCACCAUCACAGCAACAAUAUAAGACAAUCCUAUUAUUGCCCAAAUGGUCUCCUUGGCACUUUGUGGUUAACCUUUCGCCCAGUCCUAGCCUUUUGCAACCAUUAAUAUAACAUUAAUCCUUCAAAUGUUGUCUUUUCCAGAAUGUUAUAUAAAUGGAAUCAUACAAUAUAUAGCAUUUUUAAACUGAAUCUUUUUGUUUUAGUAUAGCUCAUUUGUGAUUCAUCUAUGUAGUUGCACCCAAAAAUAGUCUCUUCCUUUUUGAUUGAUUGACAGCAUUCCAUUGUGUAGAUAUACCAGCUUGUUUACCUUCUCCCUCGCUGUGAGAUAUUUGGAUUGUCGUCAGAUUUUGGCGAUUACAAAUGAAACUACUAUAAACAUUCAGGUACCAGGUUUUGUGUGUACCUAAGUUUUUAUUUCACAUGAGUAAAUACCUAGGGCAGAGUGAGAUUAUUGAGUAGAAUGUUAUCUAUUCAAUUUGGCCAGAAAAAAAAAAUACCAAACUGUUUCUCUAUUCUCAAGGGUUUUCACACGACAACAGAUGAGUUGUGGUGAGAGGCUGUGUAGAUCAAAAACCCCCUAAGAUAUUUAUUAUUUUACCUUUUAUACAGAAGUUUGCCAAUCUCUGGCCCAAAAUAUGGUCCAUCAUGGUGAAUUUUUUAUGUGCAGUGGAAAAAAAUGAGUAUUUUGCUGUUAUUUGAUGGAGUGUUCUGUAAAUGUGAAAUAAUUCACAUUCCUUGUGAUAUUCAGUCUCCUACAUUCUUACCAAUUUUCUGUUUCUUUGUUUGUUCUAUUGAUUACUGAAUAUGUAGUGCUGAAGAGUGUUGAUGUUUCCAGCUAUAAUUGUGAAUCUGCCUCUUCUUCCUUUCAGUUUUAUCUACUUUUGCUUUGUGCAUUUUUAAGUUCUAUUGCUAGGUACAUACCCCUUUGGAGUUGUCAUGUCAUCUUGCUGAAUUAAACAUUUUAUUGCUACACAAUGGCCUUCUUUAAUUUCUGAUAAUAUAUUUUGUUUUCACUUCAACUUUUCUGUUAUUAAGAGUCACACCAGCUUUCUGUUGAUUAGUGUUUACAUUUGUUUUAAUCUUAUCCGUGCCAUCACAUUCAAUCUAAGUUUCUUGUAACUAGCAAAUAGAUAAAUAUUACCUUUUAAAAUUAAUAGACUAUUUUUAGAGAAGUUUAAGAUUUAAAGAAAAAAUAAGCAGAAAUUUUUACUGAAAUGGAUUCAUUUUAGGUCCUGUUGCUCACAGCAAGAAAAGUCAAUUACUGAAACAAUGAGUAUUACCAGGAAAGAAGGCUUUAUUCCUGGGUGCUGUAGCCGAGGAGAACAGGAGAUCAGUCUCAAAUCUGUUUCCCUGACCGACUAAAAUUGGGGAUUUAUAUUGCAGAGAAGGGAUGUAGCUACAUGCAGUAAAACAGGUAUUAGCGAGGAGUACAGAACCAUCAAGGCAAGCAAGGGAUCUGGCAUCCCACCAUUGUCCAGAUGCAGUGAUCUUAUAAGUUUCAGCUCCUUGAUAAUGUCUGGGAUGCUGACUGAUUGUCAGUUCCCUGAAAGAAACUCAGAUAAGACAAAUGUAAGUUUCUCUAGUUUUAAGACUGAAAGAAUCAACUUCUAUGUUUAUCCAAAAAAAAAAAAAAAAAACUGUCUAUGGGACAAUUGGGUCGGUUUCAAAAUGACAGAGUACCCAUAUUAUCCCUCUCUCCCCUCUUCUUCCCCACAAUCCCCUUUAUUAUUAACAUUUUUUCAUUAAUGUGACACAUUUGUUGCAAUUGACAGAAUAUUAUUAAUUAAAGUUCAUAGUUUACAUUGGGAUUUAGUCUUUCUGUUAUACAAUUUCUGGGUUUUUACAAAGGUAUAAUUGCAUGUAGCUAUCAUUGCAGCAUCAAAUAGAACAAUUUCUCUGCCUUAAAAAAUUCCUUGAGUUCCACCUGUUUCAUCCUCUUUUUUACUGAACCAUUGGCAACGAAUGACCUAUUUACUGUCUCUAUAAUUUGGCCUUUUCUAGAAUGUCAUGUAGUUGGAAUUAUGUAGUAUGCAAUCUUUUCAUACUGGCUUAUUUUACUCAGUAACAUGCAUGUAAGCUUCCUCUAUGUCUUCUUGUGACUUGGUAGCUCAUUUCCUUUUAUUGCUGAAUAAUUUUUCGGUGUAUGGAUGUGCUACAGUUUGUUUAUACAUUUAUCUUUUGAAGGGUAUCUUGUUUUCUUGAAGUUUUAUAAUGGUAUCUUGUUUGUUCUUACUUUUUAAAUGUUUUGUCAAUCAUGAAUAAAGCUGCUCUAAAUAUUUGUGUGCAAGGUUUUUUUGUUGUUUGUUUGUCUUUGGUUGUGGGUUUUUUUUGUGUGUUUGUGUGAGCUAACCAAGGAAUAUGAUCACUGGAUCAUGUGGUAAAAGUAUAUAUAGCUUUCUAAGAAACUGCCAAACUGUCUUCUACAGUGGCUGUACUACUUUGCAUCCCCAUCAGUGAUGAAUGAAUAUAUUGGUUGCUCCACACUCUUGCUAGCAUUUGUUAUUUUCAGUGUUUUGGGUUUUAGCCAUUCUUAAAGGUAUGUAGUGGUAUCUGGUUAUUGGUCCUUAAUUUUUAAUCCAGUAUGACAACCUCUGUCUUGAAACAAUAAUUUAAACAAGUGAUAAUGUAAGUAUUGUUAGUGUUUGAUAUAAAUCUAUUAUUUCACUGGCUGUUUGCAAGAUAGUCUAUCUGUUCUUCGUUUAUUUUUUCCACUUUUGGUGCUUUUAAAAAAAUUAAAUGGCAUUUGCAAACUACCUAUCUGAGAAGAAUUAAUAACCUGAGUAUAUAAAGACCUCAAAUAACUCUAUAGGAAAAAAAUCUAAUAAUCUGAUUAAAAAUCAGCAUAGAUAUUUCUCAAAAGAAGACAUACAAAUGGCAAACAGGCAUAUGAAAGGUGCUGAACAUCACUGAUCAUCAGAGAAAUGCAAAUAGAAACUACAAUGAGCUAUCACCUGACCCCAGCUAAAAAGGCUUAAUGCAAAUAAAAACUACAAUGAGCUAUCAUCUGACCCCAGUUAAUAUGGCUUUUAUGCAAAAAACAGGCGAUAAUAAAUGCUGAUGAGGAUGUAGAGAAAAGGGAAGGCUUGUACACUGUUGGUGGGAAUGUAAACUAGUGCAACCACUAUGGAAAACAGUUUGGAGAUUCCUCGAAAAACUAAAAACAGAGCUACCAUAUGAUCCAGCAAUCCUACUGGUAAGUAAACAUACAAAAGAAAUUAAAUCAGUACAAGGGAGAGUUAUCUGCUAUCUCAUGUUUGUUGCAGCACUGUUCACAAUAACCAAAAUUUGGAAGCAACCUACAUGCCCAUCAACAGAGGAAUGGAUAAAGAAAAUAUGGUACAUAUACACAAUGGAGUACUAUUCAGCCAUAAAAAGACUGAGAUUCUGUCCUUUGCAACAAGAUGAAUGGAACUGAAGAUAAUUAUUUAAAGUGAAAUAAGCCAAGCACAUAAAGACAAACAUCACAUGUUCUCACUUAUUUGUGGGAUCUAAACAUCUAAACAAUUGAACUCAUGGACAUAGUGAGUAGAAGGAUGGUUACCAGAGGCUGGGAAGGGUAGUGCCAGGCUAGGGGAGAGGUGGAGAUGAUAAAUGGGUACAAAACAAAAUAGUUAUAAAGAAUAAGAUACACUAUUUGAUCAUACAACAAGGUAACUAUAGCCAAUAGUAACUUGUAUUUGUUUUGUUUUGUUUUUUUUGAGACAGAGUCUCGCUCUGUCGCCCAGGCUGGAGUGCAGUGGCGCGAUCUCGGCUCACUGCAAGCUCCACCUGCCAGGUUCACUCCAUUCUCCUGCCUCAGCCUCCCGAGUAGCUGGGACUACAGGCGCCCACCACCACGCCCAGCCAACGUUUUGUAUUUUUGGUAGAGACGGGGUUUCACCGUGUUAGCCAGGAUGGUCUCGAUUUCCUGGCCUCAUGAUCCGCCUGCCUCAGCCUCCCAAAGAAUUGUGUGUUUUAAAAUAACUAUUAAGAAUGUAACUGGAUUGUUUGUAACACAAAGGAUAAAUGCUUGAGCGGAUGGAUACCCCAUUUUCCCUGAUGUCAUUAUUUCAUAUUACAUGCCUGUAUCAAAAAAUCUCAUGUACCCCACAAAUACAUACACCUACUAUGUGUCCACAAAAAAUUGUAAAAUAAAUAGAUAAAAAUUUUAAAAUGAAUUGCCUAUAUUUUACAAUUUCUUAUUAAUUCUACUAUUGGCUUAUAUUUAUAUCCUUUUAGUUUUUCAGCAUUUUCCCUAGACUAAGCCUCUACCAACCACUAAAUUGUACUCUGUACAUAUAAUUUUGUCAUUUCAAGAAUGUUAUAUAAAAAUUCUUGAAGUCAUAUGAGUACAUAUUAG
Molecule: long non-coding RNA, 9679 nt
Filed under: Homo sapiens (human)
Lineage: Eukaryota; Metazoa; Chordata; Mammalia; Primates; Hominidae
Description: HSALNT0167857
Source: RNAcentral